AUGAGCUGUGAUUGGUCGAUUUACGUGUCAAUCAGAGGGUUUCUUCCUGUCAUGUGGGCGGUCCUUGGUCAGAAUGAGCUGCAGAGAGUCGUGCAGGUGUGAAUAUAAAUGCAGCUUGAUGCAGUAAUGAAGGGUUUGUUCGGAGACCUCGGCUCACACAGAAGGUCAAAGGCUUUAAAAGCAAAGCUAACCUUCACAUCGGCUCUUCAGACUGAUGAGCGAUUAAAAACUUUGACAGCCAAUCAGAAUCAAUCCUGCUGGAGAAUUUAAAGUGGUAGAUGAGCGUUUGCUUAGAAUAAACAGACGAUAUCGUCUGCUGCUGUGGAUGUUGUGUCUUUGAAUGUCUUUGGAGUGGAAGAUGAAGCUGUGAGGAGCAUCAAUGCACUGAAGCUGAGCUGCAGAAACACGCUUAACACGAGUCCAGAGUCCAGACAGAAGCAAUGCACCCUGGGAAUCAAGUGCAGCAUUUUUCCCCAAUCAGACGCUGAUUAUGAAUGUGAGAGGACCCUCGGCUCGAGCAUUGAUGGCUUCUCUGUCAUUUUUACACAGUGGACACACUUGAGAUUGUUUGGCAGCUCGGUGAGAGGGCCUCUGCUGAACUGGCGAGCCAAACAAAUCAGCAGCUCACAGUCAGUGCGGUGAUCACCAAAAGCACAUUCACAGAGGAUGAUGGGUGGACGGAUGUCGGCUCUCUUUUAUUAAAGCUCAUCUCUGCGUGUAAUUGGCUCAGAGAUGGCUGAUAAUCUGCCGUGGAAGAUAUUUGUCUCCGACUUGUUCCGUGUCCUUCUCAGCUGGAGCCAAAUUAUCAUACUCUCAAAAUGAAGAUCUAUUCCUGGAAUAUUCUUGGAGCAACACCGAAUCAUCAGACGGAUUGCAUUAAUAUAACUGUUUUAAUUCUUCAUGUCUGCUCACCAAAACGUCUGAAAAACUGUGAACAAUAAUCAAAUAUUCAUGCCAUCUGGAGUCGUGGCGUCUUGAUAGUUCAGGAAUUGGGACGGUUAUGCAAUAAUAGCAGGUUUAAUUGGAUUAGUACAUAGCAGAUCUUUGAAUCUGGAUCACAUUACAGCCUGUUUUGACAAAGAAACACUCACUGCUUUAAGCGUAAUUUGGCAACACCUUACAAAAGGGUUCCAGUUGUAUCUCCAAUUCAGUUUUUUUUUUUCCCGCCACGGAAUAUUUAAUAAAAAAUUAAUUGUGACUUUUUAUCUAGAGUUUCUCAGUUUAUAUCUCUCAAUUAGGACUUUGUUUGUAAAAUAUUAACUUUUU
This is a long non-coding RNA of Cyprinus carpio (common carp), 1266 nucleotides long. RefSeq lists it as uncharacterized. The record is from RefSeq and is a predicted model, not a curated record. Lineage: Eukaryota; Metazoa; Chordata; Actinopteri; Cypriniformes; Cyprinidae. The transcript is spliced from 3 exons.